AACGUAGGAGACAAACGUUAUCCGGAGUUACUGGGCGUAAAGGGCUCGUAGGCGGCCAACUAAGUCAGACGUGAAAUCCCUCGGCUUAACCGGGGAACUGCGUCUGAUACUGGAUGGCUUGAGAUUGGGAGAGGGAUGCGGAAUUCCAGGUGUAGCGGUGAAAUGCGUAGAUAUCUGGAGGAACACCGGUGGCGAAGGCGGCAUCCUGGACCAACACUGACGCUGAGUGAGCGAAAGCCAGGGGAGCAAACGGG
Molecule: ribosomal RNA, 254 nt
Filed under: uncultured bacterium
Lineage: Bacteria
Description: partial 16S ribosomal RNA
Rfam family: Bacterial small subunit ribosomal RNA
Source: RNAcentral